GAAUGAAAGAAAGAAGAAAGGGAGAAGAUGAAAGAAAUGAAGAAGAAAGGAAGGAAUGGAGAAGAAAUGAAGAUCAAAUCAAGAUGGAAGAAGAUGAAGAUGGAAGCUCUCUUGAAAUGAAGAUUUAAAUAUCCAAGAAGAGGUUGUGAAAGCAUGGUAAAGUAAAGGAAAUGGUGGAAUGGCAUGUGGAAGCUUGGAAAGAAGAUUCAAGUGUAGGUUAUGGCUUAUGGAAGCCUAUGUUAUUGUGUUUGAGUCAUGAGAUGUAAAUUAAUUUGAUUAUUAAUGGUUUGUUAAACCUAAGAUCAUGUGUGUAUUUCAUAUCUUGAGAGCAUUUGAUUUUAUAUUAAGAUGAGAUGUUGGCUUAUGGCAUUUGAAGCCUAAGUUGUGAUGUAAGUCUCAUUGUUGAGGUAUGUUGUA
Diospyros lotus (date-plum) is the source of this 417-nucleotide long non-coding RNA. RefSeq lists it as uncharacterized. The transcript is spliced from 3 exons. The record is from RefSeq and is a predicted model, not a curated record. Lineage: Eukaryota; Viridiplantae; Streptophyta; Magnoliopsida; Ericales; Ebenaceae.